This 524-nucleotide ribosomal RNA is filed under the name uncultured bacterium. Its description in RNAcentral is "partial 16S ribosomal RNA". It matches the Rfam family "Bacterial small subunit ribosomal RNA", at positions 28 to 523 of the family's 1533-position model. The record is from RNAcentral.
GACGAACGCUGGCGGCGUGCCUAAUACAUGCAAGUCGAACGAAGCUUUUUUAACUGGUGCUUGCACCGACUUAAACAACUGAGUGGCGAACGGGUGAGUAACACGUGGGUAACCUGCCCCAAAGCGGGGGAUAACAUUUGGAAACAGAUGCUAAUACCGCAUAACCACAGAAACCACAUGGUUUCUGUGUCAAAGAUGGUUUCGGCUAUCGCUUUGGGAUGGAGCCGCGGCGUAUUAGCUAGUUGGUAAGGUAAUGGCUUACCAAGGCAAUGAUACGUAGCCGAACUGAGAGGUUGAUCGGCCACAUUGGGACUGAGACACGGCCCAAACUCCUACGGGAGGCAGCAGUAGGGAAUCUUCCACAAUGGACGAAAGUCUGAUGGAGCAACGCCGCGUGAGUGAAGAAGGUUUUCGGAUCGUAAAACUCUGUUGUCAGAGAAGAACGUGUGCGAGAGUAACUGUUCGUGCAGUGACGGUAUCUGGCCAGAAAGCCACGGCUAACUACGUGCCAGCCGCCGCGGUAA